RNAcentral lists this long non-coding RNA (257 nucleotides) under Elaeis guineensis (African oil palm). RNAcentral describes it as "long non-coding RNA (EGUI_LNC003837)". The record is from RNAcentral. Lineage: Eukaryota; Viridiplantae; Streptophyta; Magnoliopsida; Arecales; Arecaceae.
CAAACAGCAGUACCGAUGGUCGGACAAGAGAGAAAUAGGGCCCCACCAAACAGAGAAAAAUAGAGCAUCCAUUCUUGGUGAGUUUUUCGACGAACCCGAUGGCCGAUGGCCAUGCAUGAUGGUAUGGGAAGGAGGGGAAGGAAGAGAGAAAGGAGAUGUGGGGCUUACCUCAGACUCCGACGGUGUUUUCGGCUCCAAUUUCUGGUGAGCACAGGUUUAAGAAGAUCAGUAAAAUGGAGAAGAAAGAGGGAGGAAGA